AUAUCAAUAAGCGGAGGAAAAGAAACUAAACAAGGAUUCCCCUAGUAACGGCGAGUGAAGCGGGAAGAGCUCAAAUUUAAAAUCUGGUUUGCUUGCAAAUCCGAGUUGUAGUCUGAAGAAACGUUUUCCAUGAAAAUCGAGGCACAAGUCCUUUGGAACAGGGCAUCAUAGAGGGUGAGAAUCCCGUCCAUCGGUCUCGAAUCUUUCAUUUUGUGAUACGUUUUCUAAGAGUCAGGUUGUUUGGGAAUGCAGCCUAAAAUGGGUGGUAAAUUUCAUCUAAAGCUAAAUAUUGGCGAGAGACCGAUAGCGAACAAGUACCGUGAGGGAAAGAUGAAAAGCACUUUGGAAAGAGAGUUAACAGUGA
Molecule: ribosomal RNA, 364 nt
Filed under: uncultured fungus
Lineage: Eukaryota; Fungi
Description: eukaryotic LSU rRNA
Rfam family: Eukaryotic large subunit ribosomal RNA
Source: RNAcentral